Long non-coding RNA from Planococcus citri (citrus mealybug), 1988 nucleotides. RefSeq lists it as uncharacterized. The transcript is spliced from 3 exons. The record is from RefSeq and is a predicted model, not a curated record. NCBI's taxonomy places the organism in Eukaryota, Metazoa, Arthropoda, Insecta, Hemiptera, Pseudococcidae.
AGUACGCGUGUGCUGGAACGAAAAGUACGAGUGCUUGUACACAUUGUGAAGUUUAACAGCAGCCACAUGCGCAUUUUGUCCUUCUUCUUUUUACACCUAAACAAAACUCGAGAUUAUUCCAAAAUGGCCGAUGUGUUAGUCUAUCGAUUUGUUCUUUGUUAACGCUCCGUUCGCUGAACGCUGAACUCGAGACUCUCUUUCUUUUUCCCUCUGAUAUAAUUAUUCCCGCUUCAUUCCUUCAUGGUGACUAUAGUGAGUUAGUGUGUGUGUAUGUAGCGGAUGCCGGUUGCCGGUUAUUUCUCAGAUUUAAUUAUGAAUUAAAAUCAGUUUAGAGAUAAAUUCCUGCUCAUCGUUAUUGUAUUUUGCAUCUUUCGCGAAUAGGAACUUUGCGUUUUGGCGGCACAAGAAAUUUGUCAUCCGUUGAUCAUGAAGUGUUUCCGGUUUUUUGAGAAGCGCAAAUUUUAGUGUGUACCGGCUUUGCGAUGAAGUUUAUCACGAGGAAUCCAAUAAGGAGCUACUUUUCGUGUAAUCUCUCGAAUGCGUUUAUCACAAAAUCACGAAGCGAGAAGAAGUACGUCAGGUUCGGCGCGCUGUAAGGUAAAAAAAUAACGAAGUACUGGCGUAAUAGUAUUUACGACGAUCACGUCGCCCAUAGAUAACAUGUGAUGGUAACACCGGACAUUUUCUGAUAUCGUUGUAUUAUUCAGAAAAUGCUGAGUUUACCAACAUUAGUUAUCGAAGAAUAACGGAUACGCGGCCGUAGCGCAGCCAUGCUGACAGACAGGCAGCCGUUGGUCGAACGAGUUGCUGCUGAUGCGUGUGAUUUGUGACGAACACGCGACGACGACUGGGAAGGCCCUAGGCGAAGACCAAGGCGAUUGCGACGUGUGCAAAUACGAGUAUACCUGCCACAGUGAGACGAUAGUGACGGUGACGGUGACUGUGACUGUGGCCGGCGAUCAGAAUACGUGAAUACGAAUACGCGUAGUAAAACGAUCAUCUCUCGCGGAGGACGUUUAAAUGGAAAUAUCGAGGUGGUAACUUAUCGCUUUCUUGAUUGUUUUUAAAGUUCAAGAAACGGAACAGUUACCGCUUUUCAUUUCCUACGAUGACCGAGUGGAGUUGAAGUUGGAGUCAAAGUCGCCGUGUGCGUAUUGACGAGGCGGCGGCGCGGCGGUGGCCGUGGCGCGAGCGCGUUCGCUAUAAAACAAGCAAUAAGAAGAUGAGGAAAGUAAGAAAAGAAAAAAAAACCGCGCGUAUCGUCGUCAGAAAAGCGGAGUAUUAAAUUUCAAGAGUGUAGAGAGAAUCGGCAUCGCACGGAUAUGUAUUGUGUAUUCGGAAAUACUGGGUGGUAACUUACCGCUUUCUUGAUUUCAUGUUUUAUUCAAGAAAGUGAAUAGUCACCGUCUUGUGUUCCGUGCUAAGUAUCGUGUGGCGGAAUUGGAAUUGGAAUCGCAAGUGGAACCAGGAGGAAAUAUCGCGCCAGGCGCGACCAUGUGGUGUCAAUUGCGAGAGCACGACAAGUGCAGAGCGCAGAAACAAAAGGGUAGGUAUUUUUAAUUGGACAUUAGCGGUGGUAACUUACCGAUUUCUUGACUUUUGCUAUGCUGUUCAAGAAACGGAGUAGUUACCUCCUGUGAUCGUCCACGUGGUUUCUUCGAUGGAGAAUUAGAUAUUUGUGUAGAAAUAUUGAUAACAAUUAUUGUACUGAAUGUAAAAAUAUGUAUUAUUCGUACAGAUACUGGCAUAAUUAUGAUUGUCUAUAGUGCAUAUCUGUGUAGACGCCGCCGUAUUUCUUUAGCAUUAAUCUAAGUUGUUUAUUGUUACAGCGGGUCGGAGGUUUUUUUAUAGUGUUUAUUUUAAAAUACGUUGAGAUUAUAAUUAGGUACCUAUAUUUUGAUAAGUUAUAUAGGUAUCAUUUACUAUUACAUAUUGAUGUAGUUAUUCUGACCAAAUGUGUCAAUAAAGAAAUUGAAGAAUGUCUUUAA